GGCUCGGCACGUUGGCGGCUUGGCGGUUUGGCAGCUUGGCGGCUCGGCGGCUUGAUGGCUCGGUGGUCUGGCUGCUUGGAAGUGUUGUCCUCGGCUGCAAGGGUGGGCAUUAAAUGGGUUGGAGAAGAGGAUGGUAUCAAAUGGUAUCAUUCGUACACAACACAUCAGUAUCUCUACAUCUUCAUGUAGCCAUAUGCAUCCAGGCAUUCGAGGCCCGCAGGCGCAUGCUGCGUCGGCUUCGAGGCCACGAGGCGCGCACGACGUCGGUUUCGAGGCCACCAUCGUCACCCAUGUAUGGACGUUGCCAUGCAUGUGAAUGGGCUGCAUGUGGAUAUACGUGAUAGACAUAUGGGGUUACCUGUCUUGCCUAUAGAGGUGAGUUAAGAGGGGGGCCGGGAAGAGGAGCUGGACCACCAAUAAGGGCGUGAAAAGGGAGAGUCCUUGGUGCAGGGCGUGAGACGGGAGAGCCCCAACACUUGCGUACUAACACCCGAGGGUGAUCAGCCCGACGGCUAGGAGAGCGUGAGAGGUGCGUACUCCUCGUAGGGCAUGGGACGCUCCCGGUCCACCCCACGGGGGCUUCAGUGGGUUCAAAUCCCGCAUUGAUCGAGGUAUGUGAGUUCGUACUGCCUCUGCCAUGCUGCCUGGGUCGAAGCUUCUUCCUUGCUGACUUCACACAAUCGCCCUGCGCAAACGUCUUGACCUUCUGGACUAAUUGGGCUAUCUGGAUCCCUAAGCUUGCUAACCUGGGCGGUUAUCAUCAGGAAUUCGAGGUAGGAAAAUAACGACACUCGGGUGUACUGCUGUCGCGUCAUUGUAUGGCCUUGGCGUUUAGGUGCGGCUUAACAACCGUCACAGGUGACGUUGCGUGUGAUGCGUUGCAUCACACGUUUACGAUUAUGCAUAUCGCAUUUCACAUUUACCUUCAACCUGUUCUGUGUAUGUGUCUACGUUGCAGGAUCGUGGAAGUGCAUACCCCGUACCUGUAAAAACCGCCUAAUACGCAUCGAGGGCAGAAGAGCUCCCUUCCUAAUCGCCUGUACGCACCAUCCCACCACUCCAGACACAGCAAGUGAUAAAGCUAACGACCAAAGGGAACGGUAGAGUUGCGACGGGACCACAUACGUUCCAGCAUCUUCGCCAGACGUUCAGGAUUCCACUUCAUAUAACGCCCUUCAUAUGCGCGAAGCGUGGGAAAUCCGUUUCAGACCUUCCAGCGGAUCAGUCCAGCGGAUCAGUCCAGCGAGAGGUGCUCCUCAGGAACUUUUUGCUGGUGAAGGCGAUUGGUUCUCCGUUCUUCAGUAGGGCUGCACCCGUACCGUGCAAGGACGCGUGAAACAGAGGUCACUUAGAACGUGAAAGGUCAUGUCCGGGUACCGGGUUAGCAGUACAUCGUCGGCCAACGCGUUUUUCACCAUCUCAAAUGCCUGUACCCGUUUAGGUGUCCAGUCUUCCGUCCGGAACGUGAUCAUGUAACAUAUCUCUGUGGGGAGCCGAAAGUGUGAAGCGUACGCUUUAACGAGGUUUCGGAAACAGCUCGUAAGCCCCAAGAACUGCCGUAACUCGGAUGUAUUCUUUGGCAACGGCCACUCACGGACAGUCUUCGCCUUCUUAGGAUCCAUGCGAACUCCGUCGGCACUAACGAUGUGACCGAG
Molecule: long non-coding RNA, 1655 nt
Filed under: Volvox carteri
Lineage: Eukaryota; Viridiplantae; Chlorophyta; Chlorophyceae; Chlamydomonadales; Volvocaceae
Description: long non-coding RNA (VCAR_LNC001734)
Source: RNAcentral